UCAGAACGAACGCUGGCGGCGUGGAUAAGACAUGCAAGUCGAACGGAUUAUUUGGUGUAGCAAUACAUUGAGUAGUUAGUGGCGCAAGGGUGAGUAACACGUGGGCAACCUGCCCGGAAAUGGGGGAUAGCCCGCCGAAAGGCGGAUUAAUACCGCAUGUGACGAGGAGCGGCAUCGCUUCGUAGUUAAAGUUGGUGAAAGCUAACGUUUCCGGAUGGGCCCGCGGCCUAUCAGCUAGUUGGUGGGGUAACGGCCUACCAAGGCAAUGACGGGUAGCUGGUCUGAGAGGACGACCAGCCACACUGGAACUGAGACACGGUCCAGACACCUACGGGUGGCAGCAGUCGAGAAUUUUUCUCAAUGGGGGAAACCCUGAAGGAGCGACGCCGCGUGGAGGAUGAAGGUCUUCGGAUUGUAAACUCCUGUCAUGAGGGAGUAAGGCAUUGCGUUAACUGCGUGGAUGCUUGAUAGUACCUCAAGAGGAAGGGACGGCUAACUCUGUGCCAGCAGCCGCGGUAAUACAGAGGUCCCGAGCGUUGUUCGGAUUCAUUGGGCGUAAAGGGUGCGUAGGCGGCCAUGUAAGUCAGAUGUGAAAUUCCGGGGCUCAACCUCGGAACUGCAUUUGAUACUGCGUGGCUAGAGUACUGGAGGGGAGACUGGAAUUCACGGUGUAGCAGUGAAAUGCGUAGAUAUCGUGAGGAAGGCCAGCGGCGAAGGCGAGUCUCUGGACAGUAACUGACGCUGAGGCACGAAGGCUAGGGGAGCAAACGGGAUUAGAUACCCCGGUAGUCCUAGCAGUAAACGGUGCACGUUUGGUGUGGGAGGAAUCGACCCCUUCCGUGCCGUANCUAACGCGUUAAACGUGCCGCCUGGGGAGUANGGUCGCAAGAUUAAAACUCAAAGAAAUUGACGGGGGCCCGCACAAGCGGUGGANUAUGUGGCU
Molecule: ribosomal RNA, 943 nt
Filed under: uncultured bacterium
Lineage: Bacteria
Description: bacterial SSU rRNA
Rfam family: Bacterial small subunit ribosomal RNA
Source: RNAcentral